RNAcentral lists this ribosomal RNA (447 nucleotides) under uncultured bacterium. RNAcentral's name for it is "bacterial SSU rRNA". It matches the Rfam family "Bacterial small subunit ribosomal RNA", at positions 30 to 475 of the family's 1533-position model. The record is from RNAcentral.
AUUGAACGCUGGCGGCAUGCCUUACACAUGCAAGUCGAACGGCAGCACGGGAGCAAUCCUGGUGGCGAGUGGCGAACGGGUGAGUAAUAUAUCGGAACGUGCCCAGUCGUGGGGGAUAACGUAGCGAAAGCUACGCUAAUACCGCAUACGAUCUAUGGAUGAAAGCGGGGGAGUCGCAAGACCUCGCGCGAUUGGAGCGGCCGAUAUCAGAUUAGGUAGUUGGUGGGGUAAAAGCCUACCAAGCCUUCGAUCUGUAGCUGGUCUGAGAGGACGACCAGCCACACUGGAACUGAGACACGGUCCAGACUCCUACGGGAGGCAGCAGUGGGGAAUUUUGGACAAUGGGCGCAAGCCUGAUCCAGCAAUGCCGCGUGCAGGAUGAAGGCCUUCGGGUUGUAAACUAGCUUUGUUACGGAACGAAACGGUUCUACUCUAAUACAGGGGCGU